This 205-nucleotide ribosomal RNA is filed under the name uncultured bacterium. RNAcentral's name for it is "partial 16S ribosomal RNA". It matches the Rfam family "Bacterial small subunit ribosomal RNA", at positions 524 to 731 of the family's 1533-position model. The record is from RNAcentral.
UACGUAGGGUACGAGCGUUGUCCGGAAUUAUUGGGCGUAAAGGGCUCGUAGGCGGUUUGUCGCGUCGGGAGUGAAAUCCACUGGCUUAACUGGUGGCUUGCUUUCGAUACGGGCAGACUGGAGGUAUGCAGGGAGAACGGAAUUCCUGGUGUAGCGGUGAAAUGCGCAGAUAUCAGGAGGAACACCGUGGCGAAGGCGGUCUCUG